Paramormyrops kingsleyae is the source of this 1036-nucleotide non-coding RNA. The record is from RefSeq and is a predicted model, not a curated record. Lineage: Eukaryota; Metazoa; Chordata; Actinopteri; Osteoglossiformes; Mormyridae.
GUGCAUGUUUUUUUGCAAAGAAAUAUUUUGCACCAUCUGUGAAUGUGGGGAGGAAUUCCAAAGAGCGGUAUCAGAAAAUUGUUGAACCAGAUGCUGCAUUAAACAUAGACCUGCACGGCCAUAUUGUCUUAGAGCAUAAGAAUAAGCAACAUGAGGCAUCAAACCUGGAAUCGACUGAGGAGCCACCAAUGGAGAGUGGCCUGCGAGAUCUCCAAACAGUGGAAGCAAACAAAUCAUGCUGGGGACGACAUCUACAUCCCACACAAAGAGAUUUGCUUUCACAAGUUUUAGACAAAACCAGGAAUCCUGGUGAACAUCGUGCACGUCAGCAACAAGGUCCUCACACGGUAUGAUCGCUGCACCUUGGCACUACAAGAGGACGUUGAUGGAAUGGAUCAUGAUCUCGGUGGGCUGGAAGGAUGUGCUGGGCCAUGUUCCUGCAUGUCUGUUCUGCUGACGUACGAGGUGACAUCAACACGCAGCCGCUGGGAGAAGCUCCAUCCUCUGGAAAGUUGCCACCUACAAGGCAAAGGAAGAGGAGAACAGGGAACCCUGAAAGGAAUGGAAUCAGUGAGAGAUAGAGAGAGAGUGAGAACAGAAUCAUUUAUGCGUGAAUGAGGCAUUAGUCCAACAAUGUACUGCUGUGCAGGAAAAAUAACAGCUAACAGAUCGACUGUCCUGAUGUCUGAGUGACAGAUUGUGAGUGUGUGUGACUGAAGGCACUUUGUUAAAAAGCAGAAAGCACCGCUGUACAAAGUCAGCAGUGUGACAGCACAUGUACACAAUGUGUGUGUGUUAGAGGAUUGUUUUGGCAGCUACAACACAAAGUGCCGACACAUGUAUAUCUUUAUGGUACUGUAUAGGUGAGAGGAAAGACGGUGGUUGUGUGACAGACAGCAUCCAUCAGUGUGUGCUUAUAGCUAUGGGCAGAUUACAUGGAAAAGGUAAAACAGCAUGUUCUGGGAGCCCAGGACAACAGCAGCACAGGGAACCAAAAAUAGCCAUAGAGACACUGUUACACAUGCAUGGGCCCCCA